GAUGAACGCUGGCGGUAUGCUUAACACAUGCAAGUCGAACGGACUCUUCGGAGUUAGUGGCGGACGGGUGAGUAACGCGUGAGAAUCUGGCUUUGGGUUCGGGACAACCACUGGAAACGGUGGCUAAUACCGGAUGUGCCGAGAGGUAAAAGAGAAAUUGCCUGAAGAUGAGCUCGCGUCUGAUUAGCUAGUUGGUGAGGUAAAGGCUCACCAAGGCAGCGAUCAGUAGCUGGUCUGAGAGGAUGACCAGCCACACUGGGACUGAGACACGGCCCAGACUCCUACGGGAGGCAGCAGUGGGGAAUUGUCCGCAAUGGGCGAACGCCUGACGGAGCAAUACCGCGUGAGGGAAGAAGGCUCUUGGGUUGUAAACCUCUUUUCUGAGGGAAGAACAAAAUGACGGUACCUAAGGAAUCAGCAUCGGCUAACUCCGUG
RNAcentral lists this ribosomal RNA (435 nucleotides) under uncultured bacterium. Its description in RNAcentral is "partial 16S ribosomal RNA". It matches the Rfam family "Bacterial small subunit ribosomal RNA", at positions 28 to 507 of the family's 1533-position model. The record is from RNAcentral.